Non-coding RNA from Gossypium raimondii (Peruvian cotton), 145 nucleotides. The record is from Rfam. Lineage: Eukaryota; Viridiplantae; Streptophyta; Magnoliopsida; Malvales; Malvaceae.
UGUUAAAAUUUUCAUCAAUUUGUAUUGUUAAAAACUGACGUGAUUAACGGAAUAAUUAGAUAGUGACAUGUGGUGUCCCACGUAUAUCUCAUGUUAAUAUACAAAGAUCAAUUUUUAACAGUAGAAAUGAAAUAAAUUUCUAGUA